RNAcentral lists this ribosomal RNA (253 nucleotides) under uncultured bacterium. RNAcentral's name for it is "partial 16S ribosomal RNA". It matches the Rfam family "Bacterial small subunit ribosomal RNA", at positions 524 to 776 of the family's 1533-position model. The record is from RNAcentral.
UACGGAGGGUGCAAGCGUUAUCCGGAUUCACUGGGUUUAAAGGGUGCGUAGGUGGGUUGGUAAGUCAGUGGUGAAAUCUCCGAGCUUAACUUGGAAACUGCCAUUGAUACUAUCAGUCUUGAAUAUUGUGGAGGUUAGCGGAAUAUGUCAUGUAGCGGUGAAAUGCUUAGAUAUGACAUAGAACACCAAUUGCGAAGGCAGCUGGCUACGCAUAUAUUGACACUGAGGCACGAAAGCGUGGGGAGCGAACAGG